GGGAUAAUACCGGAUAACGCAUAUCUGCUGGAAUGCUUUAUGCGUAAAAUGGAUUUGUCUGCCCAAGGAUGGGUCUGCGGCCUAUCAGGUAGUAGUGGGUGUAAUGUACCUACUAGCCUACGACGGGUACGGGUUGUGAGAGCAAGAGCCCGGAGAUGGAUUCUGAGACAUGAAUCCAGGCCCUACGGGGCGCAGCAGGCGCGAAAACUUUACAAUGCGGGAAACCGUGAUAAGGGGACACCGAGUGCCAGCAUCAUAUGUUGGCUGUCCAGAUGUGUAAAAUACAUCUGUUAGCAAGGGCCGGGCAAGACCGGUGCCAGCCGCCGCGGUAACACCGGCGGCCCGAGUGGUGAUCGUGAUUAUUGGGUCUAAAGGGUCCGUAGCCGGUUUGGUCAGUCCUCCGGGAAAUCUGACGGCUCAACCGUUAGGCUUUCGGUGGAUACUGCCAGACUUGGAACCGGGAGAGGUAAGAGGUACUACAGGGGUAGGAGUGAAAUCUUGUAAUCCCUGUGAGACCACCUGUGGCGAAGGCGUCUUACCAGAACGGGUUCGACGGUGAGGGACGAAAGCUGGGGGCACGAACCGGAUUAGAUACCCGGGUAGUCCCAGCCGUAAACGAUGCUCGCUAGGUGUCAGGCAUGGCGCGACCGUGUCUGGUGCCGCAGGGAAGCCGUGAAGCGAGCCACCUGGGAAGUACGGCCGCAAGGCUGAAACUUAAAGGAAUUGGCGGGGGAGCAAAUCCCGCGGCCA
Molecule: ribosomal RNA, 750 nt
Filed under: uncultured archaeon
Lineage: Archaea
Description: bacterial SSU rRNA
Rfam family: Archaeal small subunit ribosomal RNA
Source: RNAcentral